UGCAAGUCGUACGCACUGGCCCAACUGAUUGAUGGUGCUUGCACCUGAUUGACGAUGGAUCACCAGUGAGUGGCGGACGGGUGAGUAACACGUAGGUAACCUGCCCCGGAGCGGGGGAUAACAUUUGGAAACAGAUGCUAAUACCGCAUAACAACAAAAGCCACAUGGCUUUUGUUUGAAAGAUGGCUUUGGCUAUCACUCUGGGAUGGACCUGCGGUGCAUUAGCUAGUUGGUAAGGUAACGGCUUACCAAGGCGAUGAUGCAUAGCCGAGUUGAGAGACUGAUCGGCCACAAUGGAACUGAGACACGGUCCAUACUCCUACGGGAGGCAGCAGUAGGGAAUCUUCCACAAUGGGCGCAAGCCUGAUGGAGCAACACCGCGUGAGUGAAGAAGGGUUUCGGCUCGUAAAGCUCUGUUGUUGGAGAAGAACGUGCGUGAGAGUAACUGUUCACGCAGUGACGGUAUCCAACCAGAAAGUCACGGCUAACUACGUGCCAGCAGCCGCGGUAAUACGUAGGUGGCAAGCGUUAUCCGGAUUUAUUGGGCGUAAAGCGAGCGCAGGCGGUUGCUUAGGUCUGAUGUGAAAGCCUUCGGCUUAACCGAAGAAGUGCAUCGGAAACCGGGCAACUUGAGUGCAGAAGAGGACAGUGGAACUCCAUGUGUAGCGGUGGAAUGCGUAGAUAUAUGGAAGAACACCAGUGGCGAAGGCGGCUGUCUGGUCUGCAACUGACGCUGAGGCUCGAAAGCAUGGGUAGCGAACAGGAUUAGAUACCCUGGUAGUCCAUGCCGUAAACGAUGAGUGCUAGGUGUUGGAGGGUUUCCGCCCUUCAGUGCCGGAGCUAACGCAUUAAGCACUCCGCCUGGGGAGUACGACCGCAAGGUUGAAACUCAAAGGAAUUGACGGGGGCCCGCACAAGCGGUGGAGCAUGUGGUUUAAUUCGAAGCUACGCGAAGAACCUUACCAGGUCUUGACAUCUUGCGCUAACCUUAGAGAUAAGGCGUUCCCUUCGGGGACGCAAUGACAGGUGGUGCAUGGUCGUCGUCAGCUCGUGUCGUGAGAUGUUGGGUUAAGUCCCGCAACGAGCGCAACCCUUGUUACUAGUUGCCAGCAUUAAGUUGGGCACUCUAGUGAGACUGCCGGUGACAAACCGGAGGAAGGUGGGGACGACGUCAGAUCAUCAUGCCCCUUAUGACCUGGGCUACACACGUGCUACAAUGGACGGUACAACGAGUCGCAAGCUCGCGAGAGUAAGCUAAUCUCUUAAAGCCGUUCUCAGUUCGGACUGUAGGCUGCAACUCGCCUACACGAAGUCGGAAUCGCUAGUAAUCGCGGAUCAGCAUGCCGCGGUGAAUACGUUCCCGGGCCUUGUACACACCGCCCGUCACACCAUGGGAGUUUGUAACGCCCAAAGUCGGUGGC
Molecule: ribosomal RNA, 1421 nt
Filed under: Limosilactobacillus reuteri
Lineage: Bacteria; Bacillati; Bacillota; Bacilli; Lactobacillales; Lactobacillaceae
Description: bacterial SSU rRNA
Rfam family: Bacterial small subunit ribosomal RNA
Source: RNAcentral